GAAGCACCGCGGUUUAUUUCGCCGCCUCAGGACUGAGGCGCGGGGACGGGCGCCUGGAAGAGCUGGUUGAGCCGCUCGGCCUCUCGCCAGCCCGACAGCAGCGCGCCGUGGGUGGUGGAGUAGAAGGCGCCCAGCCCGCGCCGUGCCGAGACUGCGAGGAGCCGCCCGCGCACGACUUCGGUGGGGAUGCCCCUUCCCCCGUGGAGUGACCUGAGCAUUGGUGACCCCCGCAAAAGGUCAGCACCGCCCGUCUCUGUCCCCGCCGCACCCCCUGGGGCUGGAUCCUCACCCGGGGGUCGCGGGGGUCCUCGGGCAGGGGCUGUGCGAGCACAUCGAUGUCGUCCCCCGAGCUGCCGACGGCCACGUAGCUGUAGGAGCCGCGGGUGUAGGGAGCGCUGUGCCAGCGGGAGCGGAGCACGCUCCUGGGCGCGGGCAGGCUCGGAUUCCCUGCGGACGGAGCUCGGGGUAGGAUCGACGGAUCGCCCGGGGCAGCGGGCGGGCGGGCGGGGAGGGCGGGGCGGGCACCUGUCAUCGUGCGCAGGACGCGGGUCAUGGCGCUGAGCACCUCGGCGUCGCUCAGCGUCUCCAUGUACUCCGACUCCUUCCCCGCGAUGAAGCCGCACAGGACGUGCCCGUGCCUGGGGCGGGAAGGUGGGGCUGAAAGCUGCUGCACCUGCCCGUGCCCACCAGCGGCACGGAUGCCCCGAAUCCCCGGCCACCUACUGCUCUGGCGGCUGCAGCACCACGAAUCCGAUGAGCUUCUUGAACCAGUUGGCCUCCAGGUCAGCGUCGGGCUCCUCCAGGGGUGACUCGUCCUCCCACACCA
Molecule: long non-coding RNA, 826 nt
Organism: Taeniopygia guttata (zebra finch)
Lineage: Eukaryota; Metazoa; Chordata; Aves; Passeriformes; Estrildidae
Source: RefSeq, a predicted model, not a curated record